This 837-nucleotide long non-coding RNA is filed under the name Anas zonorhyncha (Eastern spot-billed duck). RNAcentral's name for it is "lncRNA (ENSAZOG00000018923.1)". Lineage: Eukaryota; Metazoa; Chordata; Aves; Anseriformes; Anatidae. The record is from RNAcentral.
UGUGGGUCUCAGCACCCUUUGGCAAUAACCAGCUCCUGCUGUCCUGCUGGCCGGUUCAUCUCUGCUCCUGGAGCAUGGCUGGGAACACCAGCUGGCCCCUCAGGCUUCCUGCCAAAUCACUGCAAAAGGCACCAAAAGACUCAGCACCCCGAGGGUUGGCAGUAGGUGCAGGCAUUGUCUGAGCUCAGCUCCUGUGAAGGAGGAUUACGCUGAUUUCAGCGGUGUCUCGUUCUGUGCUCAGCAAAAUCCCUUGGGCCUGGGUUAGGUGGUGCCAGUGGUCACUUCCACUGCAUAUUGCUUCGUCUCACUGAAAUACCACAGGACUGCUCGUUCUGCUCCCUUCUGCACACUGAGGGGCACCGACCAUGCCGCUAGCUCCCCAUUCUUGCAUUUCUUGCCAGUUUCUCAUUUUUUGCCUUUCCUGCCUCAAACUGCAAAGAGGGAACUGGGGGGUGGCUGUGGGCUGGCCCAGGUGCUGGCUGUUACCAGCUAGCCCUGUCUGCCUCCUGUGUGGGGCUGGGCAAGGCUAUUAAUGCCUAUGGGCAGGGCAGGCUGCUCCCUGAAGGCUGUGCAGCAGGAGCAACAGGGCAGGCUCCAGCCCCUGGUCCUUCUGCCCCCAGAGAAAGGUGCUUUCAGCUGCAGAGACCCAGCACCUGUGGAUGCACGGCAGUGAUUAUGUUCCCUGAUGCUGGAGCGAUACUGGGGCAACCCAGCGGUGAGUGGUGCAUUGGAGUAAAUAUACUAGCAUCUAAUUCCUGGUUUGGAAUCACAGCUAAAUUCCUUUGGUGUCCUGGCAAACCCGGCUUGGGGAGGGGAAGGAGCACUUCCACCUGGUGG